Long non-coding RNA from Oreochromis aureus, 174 nucleotides. RefSeq lists it as uncharacterized. The transcript is spliced from 3 exons. Lineage: Eukaryota; Metazoa; Chordata; Actinopteri; Cichliformes; Cichlidae. The record is from RefSeq and is a predicted model, not a curated record.
UGCUGGUGAGAAGAUAUGUUCACAGGAAACCUGAAGGGAGGGUUUCAAUUGCAGUGGAUUCAACAGUGAGAACAGAAGAUGUCAGUUAUGAAGAAAUCAUCAUCAUCAAAGAAACUGAAAAAAAGUCAAAGAUGAGAGACUUUAAACCAGAGCCAGACGGCAUCUACUCUUUAC